Molecule: ribosomal RNA, 678 nt
Filed under: uncultured Clostridium sp.
Lineage: Bacteria; Bacillati; Bacillota; Clostridia; Eubacteriales; Clostridiaceae
Description: bacterial SSU rRNA
Rfam family: Bacterial small subunit ribosomal RNA
Source: RNAcentral
AGUCGAACGAGAAAGUUUUGAAUGAUCCUUCGGGUGAAAUUAGAACUGGAAAGUGGCGAACGGGUGAGUAACGCGUGGGUAACCUGCCCUAUGGAAAGGAAUAGCCUCGGGAAACUGGGAGUAAAGCCUUAUAUUAUGGUUUUGUCGCAUGGCAAGAUCAUGAAAACUCCGGUGCCAUAGGAUGGACCCGCGUCCCAUUAGCUAGUUGGUGAGAUAACAGCCCACCAAGGCGACGAUGGGUAACCGGUCUGAGAGGGCGAACGGUCACACUGGAACUGAGACACGGUCCGGACUCCUACGGGAGGCAGCAGUGGGGAAUAUUGCGCAAUGGGGGCAACCCUGACGCAGCAAUACCGCGUGAGUGAAGAAGGUUUUCGGAUCGUAAAGCUCUGUUAUUGGGGAAGAAAACAUGACGGUACCCAAUGAGGAAGUCCCGGCUAACUACGUGCCAGCAGCCGCGGUAAUACGUAGGGGACAAGCGUUGUCCGGAAUGACUGGGCGUAAAGGGCGCGUAGGCGGUCUAUUAAGUCUGAUGUGAAAGGUACCGGCUCAACCGGUGAAGUGCAUUGGAAACUGGUAGACUUGAGUAUUGGAGAGGCAAGUGGAAUUCCUAGUGUAGCGGUGAAAUGCGUAGAUAUUAGGAGGAACACCAGUGGCGAAGGCGGCUUGCUGGACAAA